This is a long non-coding RNA of Hippocampus comes (tiger tail seahorse), 2346 nucleotides long. RefSeq lists it as uncharacterized. NCBI's taxonomy places the organism in Eukaryota, Metazoa, Chordata, Actinopteri, Syngnathiformes, Syngnathidae. The record is from RefSeq and is a predicted model, not a curated record. The transcript is spliced from 2 exons.
CAUGACACGAGCUGAGCUACAUCAGGGGUGUUCAAAGAUUUUUUUUUGCACCACAGACAUAAAAUGGUGCUUACUCGGUUUAUGACAGUAGUCAUGAACCACAUUUCCCGGUUACCAGUAACGCGCAAUGAACAGGUUUGCGAGCAGAUAAAUACAGGACAGGGUGUUCCAAAAAAAAAAAAGAGAGAGAGAGAGAAAGAGAGUUGAAUAACUAGGCAAUGACAUGUCCUAGGGCAGGCAAACCAAAUUACAUAAGCUUUGUGUUGGGAAAAAAAAAGUCGAUUUGUUCAUGAAUUUUUUCUGUGCUUCCCGCGAGUACAGUAGUUAAAAUAAGUAAAAGUCAAAAUAUUUUUUAAAAAAAACUGUUUCCGUCAAACUUUUCCCUUCAAUUGGCACUGUACUCGGGGCUGCUCAUUCUGGUGUGUGUGUCUUGGCCACGGGGGGAAAAUUUAAGGCAGACAUUCUAAUAUAUUAUUCUCGAGAGUCAGCUAAUUUUUCAGCUUCUCAGUACAGCAGUAAUAUUAGUUGUUCUCCACAGAGGAUAAAGAAUAUAUGCCUGUGAGUAAAGUUCUGUCUUUUAAUGUGCAUUGCACCAUUGUUUGUGUUCAGACAUCCGUUGCUAAAAGCAUCACAACACUGUCAUUCAUCCACUCAUCCAAAUGCUAAUUGUUAGCCUUGUUAGCCCGUAUGCCUAUGGUGUUUCCCGUUGUAUGUUAACAAGAAGCUAGCAGAGGGCUAUUUAGUUGUUUUAAGUAAACAUUAAACCCAGUUAGUUUUUACACAGUCUGUUAAAACUUGAGAUCAUUUCAGCAGCAUUUGGCUGUGUCAUUACGCUACAAAAUGUUGUCAACUUUGUGGGAACACUUUGGAUAUUAAAUGAUGCACGUAUUUGCUCGGCUUUGUGGGCAUACAGUCGUGAUAUUUCAACUUUUUAAUUUUUUUUCCAUGAUGGGGGAGGGACUCAAUGUGGCCUUAUUCCUCCUGUGUUUGGUUGUGAUAUGAUGUGUCAAUGAUUCGAUUGCCCUCCAGAUGUGCUUUCAUUUGAUUGUUUUUCAUCUAAAUUAGUGUUUCAUAGGUGCGUGUUAAAAAAAAGGUUUCGUGUGUCUCAAAGGACAAUGGUAACCAUAGAAACUGGUUUGAGUAGCCUGUUCUGUUGAAGUCGCUGACAAAAGAGCUCUUGAAGUCUCAGCCGGUACAACUAGUUUACCCAGUUUCACACACACACGCACGCACGCAAACUGUGACGUGACUGUGCGCGCACGCUUGUAGCACUUCUGAGAAAUACAUUGUUACCGAGUUUAAGUGAUUUUUCGCCAAUGAGACGUGACGGGUUACAAGGGCGUGCCUCGGGGAACGUUGACAACAAAUUAGAUGACGACAAUGAGGAAAUAACUUUUCUUUCGUGAGAAGCGACACGAUUUGUCAGGAGGUGGCAAAGUCAGACCUGCGGGUCACAAACGGGCGGCCGGGCAUUUAUGAAGCAAGUUUUUAGAUCGCAUUUUUUUCACCAACUGCCCAUUUAAAAACAAAACAUUUUCCUACGCCUGCCAUAGACAAUAGACAAACAUAUUUUUCAUAUUUUCACCCCCCCCCCCCCACUGGUCGAUCAAAACCGCCUCUGUGCAUACCGAAGUAAGCUGUUGCCACAAGGAGGUGAAUACAAUCAUGCAGUCGUUGAAGAGUGUCAGAUACUUAUUCAUAUCUGCUGCAAUUAUGAGGUUGCCACGGAGAUGCUGCUUUAAAUUUCAUCAAGCGAUGACAAGCAUUGUGCUGAGAAACACUUUUCAGACUUAACCACCGACAUAGAAACUAAAGGAAAAAAAUUGACUACUCCAUCUUUCGAGCUGAAAACACAUUUAAAAUUAGUAAAACACAUUUUUUUAAAGCAUGUCUUCGCACCAGUUUUUACUCUAUUGCUUUCCGGUGAUUAUCAUCUUACAUUACUUAGAGGGAACGUAAAGAAGACUGGCUCGCACAAUUCUCCAAAUAACUAUGAGUCAAACAGAGUUGAAGAAUUACACAACUAAAUGUUCAAGCCUACCAAACCACCGUCAAUCAUUCCGAAAGUCCAUUAGCUUAAUGCUAACAUAGAAUGCGAAACACCAUAAACGGGCUAAUCGAAAUUAGCCUCAAAGUUACGUUAACAUACAGAGCAUCACUUAUAAGCAGAGUAGACAGCAAUUUAUGAGUGAACCUGCUCUGCGUCUUCUUGCUCUUCGUCGUGCUGCCUCUCUUCCAGUAGAGCUUCGUAGCGUCCGGCAUAUUGUGGCGCAACGUGAUGCCACACAGAAGGCACAAACCGUUAAAUUCUGACUUCUCUGUAUUGUUAAAAAAAAAGAAACAAAA